AUGAAGCCGAGCGCCGCUGUCAUGCUCGCCGCCGUCGUGGCGCUGCUCCUGGUCUCGGCCGUGCGGGGCGAGGACGACUGCGGGUCGCCGGAGUCGGCGGCGCGCGACCGCGCGCGGGCGAGGCCGCUUAAGAUCGCGGCCUUCUUCUCCAUCCUGAUCUGCGGGGCGCUGGGUUGCUCCCUGCCCGUGCUGGGGCGACACGUGCCCGCGCUCCGGCCCGACGGCGACGUCUUCUUCCUGGUCAAGGCGUUCGCGGCGGGGGUCAUCCUCGCCACGGGGUUCAUCCACAUCCUCCCCGACGCGUUCGAAAAUCUCACGUCCGACUGCCUGCCUGCCGCCGGGCCGUGGAAGGACUUCCCGUUCGCCGGGUUGGGAGCCAUGGUCGGCGCCAUCGGCACGCUCGUCGUCGACACCCUCGCCACGGGGUACUUCACGCGCGCCCACUUGAACAAGGACCGAGCCCACGGCAGCAGCGCCGCCGUGGUGGACGAGGAGAAACAGGCUGCUGCUGCCGCCGCCAGCGAGUUAGCGCGCCACCACGACGGCGGGGAGCACGAGGGACAUGUUCACUUGCACACGCACGCAACCCAUGGCCACACCCACGGGUCGGCGGCGCUCGUUGCGGCCGUUGGCGGCGCCGAGGACGAAAAGGACACGAUCCGGCAUCGUGUAAUCUCUCAGGUACUCGAGUUGGGUAUUGUGGUGCACUCGGUGAUCAUCGGCAUCUCCCUCGGCGCGUCUCAGGACCCGGAAACUAUCAAACCUCUCGUCAUUGCCUUGAGCUUCCACCAGAUGUUCGAGGGAAUGGGCCUUGGUGGCUGCAUAGUUCAGGCAAAGUUCAAGGCUAGGUCCAUCGUGACCAUGAUCCUCUUCUUCUGCCUGACAACGCCGGUGGGCAUCGCCAUCGGCUUCGGCAUAUCUCGAGUGUACAACGAGAACAGCCCGACGGCGCUGGUGGUGGAGGGCAGCCUCAACUCUGUGGCAGCGGGGAUCCUCGUCUACAUGGCCCUCGUCGACCUCCUCGCCGAGGACUUCAUGAACCCUAAGGUGCAGAGCAGGGGAAAGCUGCAGCUUGGUAUCAACGUCUCCAUGCUGGUCGGUGCAGGCCUCAUGUCCAUGCUCGCCAAAUGGGCCUAG
This 1137-nucleotide ribosomal RNA is filed under the name Triticum aestivum (bread wheat). RNAcentral describes it as "partial small subunit ribosomal RNA". Lineage: Eukaryota; Viridiplantae; Streptophyta; Magnoliopsida; Poales; Poaceae. The record is from RNAcentral.